Molecule: ribosomal RNA, 569 nt
Filed under: Plectosphaerella sp. PG4-1
Lineage: Eukaryota; Fungi; Ascomycota; Sordariomycetes; Glomerellales; Plectosphaerellaceae
Also listed under: 2 other names
Description: eukaryotic LSU rRNA
Rfam family: Eukaryotic large subunit ribosomal RNA
Source: RNAcentral
AAACCAACAGGGAUUGCCUCAGUAACGGCGAGUGAAGCGGCAACAGCUCAAAUUUGAAAUCUGGCUCCUUCGGGGCCCGAGUUGUAAUUUGCAGAGGAUGCGUCGGGUACGGGUGCCUUCCGAGUUCCCUGGAACGGGACGCCAUAGAGGGUGAGAGCCCCGUCUGGUAGGACACCCAGCCCGUGUGACGCUCCCUCGACGAGUCGAGUAGUUUGGGAAUGCUGCUCUAACGGGAGGUAUACUCCUUCCAAGGCUAAAUACCGGCUGGAGACCGAUAGCGCACAAGUAGAGUGAUCGAAAGAUGAAAAGCACUUUGAAAAGAGAGUCAAACAGCACGUGAAAUUGUUAAAAGGGAAGCGCUCGCUACCAGACUUGGGUUCGGCGGUUCAACCGGGGCCACGCCCCGGGGCAUUCCGCCGGCCCAGGCCAGCAUCAGCUUUCCGUCGGGGGUAAAGGCGUCGGGAAUGUGGCUCCCCUUCGGGGGAGUGUUAUAGCCCGUCGUGUCAUACCCUUCGGGGGGCUGAGGUACGCGCUUCUGCAAGGAUGCUGGCGUAAUGGUAGCUAGUGAC